This 383-nucleotide ribosomal RNA is filed under the name uncultured eukaryote. Its description in RNAcentral is "partial 18S ribosomal RNA". It matches the Rfam family "Eukaryotic small subunit ribosomal RNA", at positions 592 to 976 of the family's 1831-position model. The record is from RNAcentral.
CAAUAGCGUAUAUUAAAGUUGUUGCAGUUAAAAAGCUCGUAGUUGGAUUUCUGGUGGGAGCGAUCGGUCUGGCGCUUAGCGCGAGUACUUGCAUCGUCUCCGGCCAUCCUUGGGGAGAGUCUGUCUGGCAUUAGGUUGUCGGGCAGAGGAUCCUCAUCGUCUACUGUGAAAAAAUUAGAGUGUUCAAAGCAGGCUUAUGCCGUUGAAUAUAUUAGCAUGGAAUAAUAAGAUAGGACUUUGGUACUAUUUUGUUGGUUUGCGCACCAAAGUAAUGAUUAAUAGGGACAGUUGGGGGUAUUCGUAUUCCGUUGUCAGAGGUGAAAUUCUUGGAUUUACGGAAGACGAACUACUGCGAAAGCAUUUACCAAGGAUGUUUUCAUUAA